UUUCUAUGCUCUUUUUUUUUUUUCCAAAUGCAGAUACGAAAGCUGGGAACAGGUUCUAGAAAAAGAUUCCAUAUUGCUUUGGAUGUCACAUUCAUGCCUUUGGGAAAUAGUGUAAGUGCGCUCCUUUGUAAACCAUGCAAUAAGGAAGCUACAAAAUGUCUGAUCUACCUGAACUCAGCAAUAUGACUGCACAUGAUGCUGGACAGUGUGGCCUGGAGGGCACGUGCAACAACAGAAGGCAAAUGAUUUUAUGGAGCUAAGUGGCAGCAUUCCAGGUACGUUUUGGACUUCUCUGUCACUUUUUACACUAAUUGGAGGACACAACAAACCUUCAUGCUGGAGCUCAUCCUUGAAGGCCUUCUACAUUGUUUUGAGGUGGAGUCAUCCAAAAUAGGAAAGAAACAGUACCACAGGGCUGAUGUGAGCAACCGCACAGCGCAAUGGCAAACUCCUGUACUCACAGUGAGGAAGCUGGGGACCCUGAAGAUCUCCCUCAUGUACCUGCUUUGCUCCCACUCCAGUCUCCGGUCCUGUGUAUGUAAC
RNAcentral lists this long non-coding RNA (543 nucleotides) under Dromaius novaehollandiae (emu). Its description in RNAcentral is "lncRNA (ENSDNVG00000005273.1)". Lineage: Eukaryota; Metazoa; Chordata; Aves; Casuariiformes; Dromaiidae. The record is from RNAcentral.